This is a long non-coding RNA of Thalassophryne amazonica, 246 nucleotides long. RefSeq lists it as uncharacterized. The transcript has 2 exons. NCBI's taxonomy places the organism in Eukaryota, Metazoa, Chordata, Actinopteri, Batrachoidiformes, Batrachoididae. The record is from RefSeq and is a predicted model, not a curated record.
GGAAUACUAAAAAUUUGGUUUUACCUUAAUAUACAAAGGCUAGGAUGAAAUUAAUCUAAAUAAGAGAACUUCCAAAUCCACUUGUAACUUUUGGCUGACACUCACAUUUUGAACCACCACAUCUCAAAGAGCUCCUCGUGUUCCUCUACCAUGUGGUUACACUCAAAGCUGCUGGUCUCACACAAACCCUCCACGAUCUCCAUCAGACGAAUUUCACUUAGAGCGUUGACGGAUAAAUACGAUAGA